UUAGUUUGAUUCUAACUAAAAGAUUAGUGUUAUUUUUAAAUCUUAUGCUUACUAUAUGUAAAACAAUAAAUAUAUAAUUAAUUAGGGAUAACAUUUAUGAAAUUAACCUUAAUAAGCAGCGACUGAAGCUAUAAUAAUAUGUUAAAGCAUGAAAUGGUUCAAAUUCGAUUAUUGGUCUAAUUCGUGCCAGCAACAGCGGUUAAACGAUAAAUAUCUAACAAGUAAAAUCUGUAUAGGUAUUAUUAAACAAUGAGUAAAUAGGUAAAAUUUCUUCACACUUAGUCCCAAAAAUGCCUAUAAUAAACUAUAAACUAAAACAAGGAUUAGAUACCCUUUUAUUAUUAACUUAAAAUAAGAUUGGAGACUACGAGCAAUAGCUUAAAAACCCAAGGAUUUGGCGGUGUCUUAUUCAAUCAGGGGAAUCUGCACCUGAAAUCGAUAGUCCACGUUAAACUUUACCUAAUUUUGAUUAAUUAGCUUGUGUACUGCCGUUUAAUAGGCCCUUAAGGUUACCUAUAAAAAAUAUAUAAAAUUACACGUCAGGUCAAAGUGCAGUUUAUAAUUAGGAGGAUGUGGGUUACAUUUCAAAAAGAUAGGAUAUUUAUAAAAUAAUAAUUAUAAAACUAGGACUUGAUAGUAAUUAUAAAAGAUAUUAUAUUAUAAUGAAUAUGAACUUAAGACAAGCACACAUCGCCCGUCACUCCUUUAUAUAGGAUAAGUCGUAACAUAGUAGACGUAAUGGAAAUUGCAUCUGU
This 755-nucleotide non-coding RNA is filed under the name Orobdella koikei. Lineage: Eukaryota; Metazoa; Annelida; Clitellata; Hirudinida; Orobdellidae. The record is from RNAcentral.